GAUGAACGCUGGCGGCGUGCCUAAUACAUGCAAGUCGAGCGAACAGACGAGGAGCUUGCUCCUCUGACGUUAGCGGCGGACGGGUGAGUAACACGUGGAUAACCUACCUAUAAGACUGGGAUAACUUCGGGAAACCGGAGCUAAUACCGGAUAAUAUAUUGAACCGCAUGGUUCAAUAGUGAAAGACGGUUUUGCUGUCACUUAUAGAUGGAUCCGCGCCGCAUUAGCUAGUUGGUAAGGUAACGGCUUACCAAGGCAACGAUGCGUAGCCGACCUGAGAGGUGGACGGCCCCCCCGGAAAUGGGAACCGGGCCCAGCCCCCACGGGGGGGCGGGAGAGGGAAUCUUCCCGAAGGGGGGAAAGCCUGAACGAGCAACCCCGGGGUGAGUAAGAAGGUUUUCGGAACGGAAAACUUCUUUAUUGAGGAAAAAAAAAAUGGUAAGGAAACAAGCCAGUUUUGGAGGUACCCAAACAAAAAGCCCCGGCUAACCACCG
RNAcentral lists this ribosomal RNA (495 nucleotides) under uncultured bacterium. RNAcentral's name for it is "partial 16S ribosomal RNA". It matches the Rfam family "Bacterial small subunit ribosomal RNA", at positions 28 to 506 of the family's 1533-position model. The record is from RNAcentral.